CCUGGCGAGAGUUCUGGGUACUUGCCUCAUGAGAGGGUUGUGUCUGGAGGAUCUCCUAAGCAUCCCAUAGAGCAGGCUGCCUGUAGUGGAGCCCGGCGCAGGAGGCGGGACCCUGAGCUUCCCUCGGAGAGUACAACACAGAAGAGGAAAAAUGGCCAUUGUCCAUCUAGAAGGGAAAUUUGAGAAAUCAGGGAUGUUUAAUGAUGUUGCUUUUGACUUCUCUAAGGCUUGCCCUCUGAACAAGGACUUGUCUUCAAAAUAGCACACCAAGGGAUCAGAAUUGUGUCAGUGGGAAAUGAGUGAGACAUUCGAAAACUGUAUACCUAAGACUAAUUCUAGAAAAUAUUUGGAAGUUAGAGUUAGAGAGGGAACAAGAAAAUCCGA
RNAcentral lists this long non-coding RNA (384 nucleotides) under Mus spicilegus (steppe mouse). Its description in RNAcentral is "lncRNA (ENSMSIG00000003374.1)". The record is from RNAcentral. Lineage: Eukaryota; Metazoa; Chordata; Mammalia; Rodentia; Muridae.